This 253-nucleotide ribosomal RNA is filed under the name uncultured bacterium. RNAcentral describes it as "partial 16S ribosomal RNA". It matches the Rfam family "Bacterial small subunit ribosomal RNA", at positions 524 to 776 of the family's 1533-position model. The record is from RNAcentral.
UACAGAGGGGGCCAGCGUUAUUCGGAAUUAUUGGGCGUAAAGGGCGCGUAGGCGGCCAUGCGUGUCUUUCGUGAAAUCCCUCGGCUUAACUGAGGACGUGCGGAAGAAACUGCAAGGCUUGAGUCCGGGAGAGGGGGGUGGAAUUCCCAGUGUAGCGGUGAAAUGCGUAGAUAUUGGGAGGAACACCAAUGGCGAAGGCAGCUCGCUGGGACGUUACUGACGCUGAGACGCGAAAGCGUGGGGAGCAAACAGG